RNAcentral lists this ribosomal RNA (305 nucleotides) under uncultured bacterium. RNAcentral describes it as "bacterial SSU rRNA". It matches the Rfam family "Bacterial small subunit ribosomal RNA", at positions 336 to 638 of the family's 1533-position model. The record is from RNAcentral.
CUCCUACGGGGGGCAGCAGUGAGGAAUAUUGGUCAACGGACGAGAGUCUGAACCAGCCAAGUAGCGUGAAGGAUGACUGCCCUAUGGGUUGUAAACUUCUUUUAUAUGGGAAUAAAGUUUUCCACAUGUGGAAUUUUGUAUGUACCAUAUGAAUAAGGAUCGACUAACUCCGUGCCAGCAGCCGCGGUAAUACGGAGGAUCCGAGCGUUAUCCGGAUUUAUUGGGUUUAAAGGGAGCGUAGGUGGAUUGUUAAGUCAGUUGUGAAAGUUUGCGGCUCAACCGUAAAAUUGCAGUUGAAACUGGCA